RNAcentral lists this ribosomal RNA (305 nucleotides) under uncultured bacterium. RNAcentral's name for it is "partial 16S ribosomal RNA". It matches the Rfam family "Bacterial small subunit ribosomal RNA", at positions 508 to 807 of the family's 1533-position model. The record is from RNAcentral.
ACAGCAGUAGCCGCGGUAACACAGAGGGUGCGAGCGUUAAUCGGAUUUACUGGGCGUAAAGCGUGCGUAGGCGGCUUUUUAAGUCGGAUGUGAAAUCCCUGAGCUUAACUUAGGAAUUGCAUUCGAUACUGGGAAGCUAGAGUAUGGGAGAGGAUGGUAGAAUUCCAGGUGUAGCGGUGAAAUGCGUAGAGAUCUGGAGGAAUACCGAUGGCGAAGGCAGCCAUCUGGCCUAAUACUGACGCUGAGGUACGAAAGCAUGGGGAGCAAACAGGAUUAGAUACCCCGGUAGUCCCUGUCUCUUAUAC